GGUCUAUUGAUUUUGAAAAAAUGUAUUAAAAUGUUUGUAAAAAUUUAAAAAUCCCAUUAAUUGGUCAAUUCAUCAAUUUUAGUAGUUAAAUGUUUUAAUAUUUAAUUCUUGUGGUAUAGAAAAGUUCAUUAAUAUUAUGAAGCCUUUUGUAGUUUGGUUGCGAGUGAUGUGGCGGUCGAUCUCCAAAUGCUUCAUUCUUUCGAGAAAGACAAGGAUAUUAAGGAAAGUCCGAGAAAGAUGUAAAACCCAGUCAAUGACUUUUUGAAGGUGAGACAGGCAACCCAAUCAGAGUCGCAUAAGGCAAAGAUUUGAAAAUUAGCAGAUGCAAGGAAGAAAAGGCCUUUCUGUGAAUUGCCUUUGAGAUAUCAUAUUACAUCUAGAGCAGCAUCAAAAUGAGGCUUCCUAAGUGUCUAUAUUUAUUGCCUGAGCUACUGUGUGGAGUAGGUGAUUUCGGGUCAUAUGAGUCCGAGGUACAACAAGCAGCCCACUAACCUUUUGUACUGUUCCGGAUUAGGUUUGAAGCUGAAUGUACUAAAACGAACCAAUGAAGGCUAUUUUAGAGUUGUUUGGGACUGAGAGAUUCUGUCUUGCUUAAGACUAAACCCAAGCUCAAAUGGACAGACAGUAGGGAUUUACCUUUGACAGUUGUACAAAUUUAAAAUAUUUUUUGUUAGCUGUAAAUGUGUUCAGAUCGAUGAUUAUGAUGACAACAAUAGAAGAAUUUCUUGAUUUCUUUUAUUUCUUUUAAAUUUGAACUUUAUCUUUUAGUUUG
This is a long non-coding RNA of Manihot esculenta (cassava), 772 nucleotides long. RefSeq lists it as uncharacterized. The record is from RefSeq and is a predicted model, not a curated record. The transcript is spliced from 3 exons. NCBI's taxonomy places the organism in Eukaryota, Viridiplantae, Streptophyta, Magnoliopsida, Malpighiales, Euphorbiaceae.